AUUUACUCGUGUUUAUCAGCAAAAGCAAAUGUGAGAACAGCAAUUCUCUCCCUCUUCGUCUUGUAUUCACACAAUCACUCUUUAUCUGGCAAAAUCGAUUCUCUCGUUGCUGUGUGCCCUAGCUUCAGUUCAAAGGAAUUAUUAUGAAUAUUUUAGGUUUGAAUGUCACUCGGAUUACUCGGUUUGGAAACAGGUUGAGGUUGAUUGGGUUAGGACCAGGGGAAAGUCAGUUAGAACCAUCAGAGUGCAUACGCCCGUUUGUUCUUAGGUGUAAUCCAGUUGUGAUGGGAUUGGUGGAUUCAAGACGUUCAAGGCUCACCGAGGAAAAGGUCAAAGGAUGUUUGAAGAAGGAAGACAAUUUAAGCUGGGUAGAUGUUCCAAAAUCAUUUUUCAAAGACAAGAAAAGUGGGGGAAUCAUGUUUGCGUGGAAUGAAAUUUUACGAUAUCAAAAACUUUACCAAAUAAGAGAUGGCUCUUGGUUGAAGGUAAUCUGAUAAAAGAACGUAUUGAUGUGUCUUUUCUUUUGGUUUCUGAACCAAGUUGUCGUAAAGAGAGAGAUAAUUUACGGAGUGAUUUGGUGAACUUAAGGAAGACAAUUUCAAAUCCUUUGGUGGUGAUGGGUAAGUUUUAUGAUGGUGUGCCAACCGAUCUAAAAGAUGCCGAUUUUGAGUAUUUUUUAGAUCAUAAAUUUUCAAAGCAUUUUAAGGUUCUAAAAACGUUGGGAUCAAGGAGAGUCCUCUCAGGUCAGCGCCCUUUCGUACUUCAUUGUGAUGAACAAGAUGAUAUUUGAUAUGGUGGAACUUAGAAGUGAAGAUGAGCACCCACAUAUGUAGAAGUAUGAUUUUGAUUACUUUUAGAUCUUUAUUUUGUCAUUUUGCUAGGAUGUCCUUUUGAUUACAUUUAGAACUUAUUUUGAUGGGAAAUGGCAAAGUUGAAAGUUGAUUAUAAUUAUUCCGUA
Long non-coding RNA from Medicago truncatula (barrel medic), 958 nucleotides. RefSeq lists it as uncharacterized. Lineage: Eukaryota; Viridiplantae; Streptophyta; Magnoliopsida; Fabales; Fabaceae. The record is from RefSeq and is a predicted model, not a curated record. The transcript has 2 exons.